UUAAGUAAGAAAGGGCGUACGGUGGAUGCCUAGGCACUUGAAACUGAAGAAGGACGCAACAAACGGCGAAACGCGGCGGGGAGCUGUACGUAAGCAAAGAUCCGCCGGUAUCCGAAUGGGGGAACCCGGCAUGCGUAAUAGCAUGUCAUCCGCAGAUGAACAAAUAGUCUGCGAGAGAGGUACCCGGGGAACUGAAACAUCUAAGUACCCGGAGGAAAAGAAAACAACAGUGAUUCCCUGAGUAGCGGCGAGCGAAAGGGGAGGAGCCCAAACCAGACCGAGGUCUGGGGUUGAAGGACCGCGAUACGGCAAGAAUCAUGGUAGGAGAACGGCAUUGAAAGGCCGACCGGAGAGGGUGCAAGUCCCGUAUCCGAAACCGUGAGGAAGCCCAGCGGGAUCCUGAGUACGGCGAGACACGAGAAAUCUUGUCGGAAGCAGGCGGGACCAUCCGUCAAGGCUAAAUAUAAGCAAGUGACCGAUAGUGAACCAGUACCGUGAGGGAAAGGUGAAAAGAACCGCGGGAGCGGAGUGAAAUAGAACCUGAAACCGUAUGCUUACAAGAAGUCAGAGCACGUUAAGGUGUGAUGGCGUGCCUUUUGUAGAAUGAACCGGCGAGUUAUGUUAUCGUGCGAGGUUAAGCAGGAGAUGCGGAGCCGAAGCGAAAGCGAGUCUUAAUAGGGCGGCAGUACGAUGACAUAGACCCGAAACCGUGUGAUCUAGCCAUGACCAGGUUGAAGUUCAGGUGAAACUGAAUGGAGGACCGAACCGACCCCCGUUGAAAAGUUGGCGGAUGAGUUGUGGCUAGGGGAGAAAUUCCAAUCGAACCCGGAUAUAGCUGGUUCUCCCCGAAAUAGCUUUAGGGCUAGCGUCGAGGAUGAGUCUUGUGGAGGUAGAGCACUGAAUGUACGAUGGCCCCAUCCCGGGGUACUGAGUAUAAUCAAACUCCGAAUGCCAUGAGAUAUUCCCGGCAGUCAGACCGUGGGUGAUAAGGUCCAUGGUCAAAAGGGAAACAGCCCAGACCGCCAGUUAAGGUCCCAAAAUGUAUGCUAAGUGGAAAAGGAUGUGGGGAUGCACAGACAACUAGGAGGUUGGCUCAGAAGCAGCCACCCUUCAAAGAGUGCGUAACAGCUCACUAGUCGAGUGACCCUGCGCCGAAAAUGUACCGGGGCUAAGCAUACUACCGAAGCUGCGGAUUUGUAGUAAUACAAGUGGUAGGGGAGCGUUCCAUGCACGUGGAAGCCAUACCGUAAGGAGUGGUGGAGAGCAUGGAAGUGAGAAUGCCGGUGUGAGUAGCGAGAUGCAGGUGAGAAUCCUGCACACCGAUAGCCCAAGGAUUCCAGGGGAAGGUUCGUCCGCCCUGGGUAAGUCGGGACCUAAGGCGAGGCCGAAAGGCGUAGUCGAUGGAAAACAGGCAGAUAUUCCUGUACCCGCGAUGGAAAUGAAGGAAUGACGGAGAAGGCUAGCAUGAGCCACUUAUUGGAUUGUGGUCGAAGCGAAUAGCAGGUGCAUAGUAAAAUGCGUGCACGGAAUGUAAAACGUGAUAGGUAAGCGAAACCUUUGGGGAGUAGCGAAGCAUGCGAGGCCAGCUUCCAGGAAAAGUUUCUAGUGCUGAUUCCAUAGCGGCCCGUACCAAAACCGACACAGGUGGGCAAGGAGAGUAUCCUGAGGUGAGCGAGAGAACUGUUGCCAAGGAACUCGGCAAAAUGACUCCGUAAGUUAGCGAGAAGGAGUGCUUAUGAAAGUAAGCCGCAGUGAAGAGGCCCAAGCGACUGUUUAACUAAAACACAGCUCUCUGCAAAGUCGCAAGACGAAGUAUAGGGGGUGACGCCUGCCCGGUGCUGGAAGGUUAAGAGGAUUUGUCAGUUUCGACGAAGCAAUGAAUUGAAGCCCCAGUGAACGGCGGCCGUAACUAUAACGGUCCUAAGGUAGCGAAAUUCCUUGUCAGGUAAGUUCUGACCCGCACGAAAGGCGUAACGAUUUGGGCGCUGUCUCGGCAGCAGACUCGGUGAAAUCUUAGUACCUGUGAAAAUGCAGGUUACCCGCAACUAGACGGAAAGACCCCAUGGAGCUUUACUGCAGCCUGAUAUUGGAUUUUGAUCAGAGAUGUACAGGAUAGGUGGGAGACGAAGAAGGAUGCACGCCAGUGUAUCUGGAGUCGACGUUGGGAUACCACUCUUGUCUGAUUGGAGUUCUAACCUGCGUCCAUGAAGCUGGACGGGGGACCGUGUCAGGCAGGCAGUUUGACUGGGGCGGUCGCCUCCCAAAGAGUAACGGAGGCGCCCAAAGGUACGCUCAGAUUGGACGGAAAUCAAUCGGCGAGUGCAAAUGCAGAAGCGUGCUUGACUGUGAGACAAACAGGUCGAACAGGGACGAAAGUCGGGAUUAGUGAUCCGGCGGUGCCGAAUGGAAGGGCCGUCGCUCAACGGAUAAAAGCUACCCUGGGGAUAACAGGCUGAUCUCGCCCAAGAGUUCACAUCGACGGCGAGGUUUGGCACCUCGAUGUCGGCUCAUCGCAUCCUGGAGCUGAAUUCGGUUCCAAGGGUUGGGCUGUCCGCCCAUUAAAGCGGUACGCGAGCUGGGUUCAGAACGUCGUGAGACAGUUCGGUCCCUAUCUGUUGUGGGCGUAGGAGAUUUGAGGAGAGCUGUCCUUAGUACGAGAGGACCGGGAUGGACCUACCGCUGGUGCACCGGUUGUUGUGCCAACAGCAUAGCCGGGUAGCUAAGUAGGGAAGGGAUAAGCGCUGAAAGCAUCUAAGCGCGAAGCCUACUCCAAGAUGAGAUCUCCCAUACGCAAGUAGUAAGACCCCUUGAAGACGACGAGGUAGAUAGGUCAGGGAUGGAAGCGCAGCGAUGCGUGGAGUUGACUGAUACUAAUAGGUCGAGGACUUAAUCAA
RNAcentral lists this ribosomal RNA (2894 nucleotides) under human gut metagenome. Its description in RNAcentral is "bacterial LSU rRNA". It matches the Rfam family "Bacterial large subunit ribosomal RNA". The record is from RNAcentral.